This 351-nucleotide ribosomal RNA is filed under the name uncultured bacterium. RNAcentral describes it as "partial 16S ribosomal RNA". It matches the Rfam family "Bacterial small subunit ribosomal RNA", at positions 338 to 706 of the family's 1533-position model. The record is from RNAcentral.
CCUACGGGAGGCAGCAGUAGGGAAUAUUGCGCAAUGGGGGAAACCCUGAAGCAGCAACGCCGCGUGGAGGAUGAAGGUUUUCGGAUUGUAAAGUCCUUUUGUUAGAGACGAUAAUGACGGUAUCUAACGAAUAAGCCCCCGCUAACUCCGGGCCAGCAGCCGCGGGAAUACGGUGGGGGCAAGCGUUACUCGGAAUCUCCGGGUGUAAAGGGCGCGUUGGCGGGCAAGGAAGUCAGAAGUGAAAUCCUGUGGCUUAACCCUCAAACUGCUUUUGAAACUGGUUGUUUUGAGGAAUGGAGAGGCAGGUGGAAUUUCUAGUGGAGGGGUGAAAUGCGUAGAGAUUGAGGGGAA